Neurospora crassa OR74A is the source of this 1796-nucleotide ribosomal RNA. It matches the Rfam family "Eukaryotic small subunit ribosomal RNA". The record is from Rfam. NCBI's taxonomy places the organism in Eukaryota, Fungi, Ascomycota, Sordariomycetes, Sordariales, Sordariaceae.
UAUUUAAUUGAUUUUGUUAGUAAUUAUAUAUUUAUUUUAAAGAUUAAACUAUGUAUGUUUAAAUUUAAGUAAUUAAAUUACAAAAUUGCGAAUAACUUAUUAAAUUAAUUAUAAUUUAUUUAAUAGUACCUUAUUAUAUAAAUAACUAUAGUAAUUCUAGAGCUAAUAUAUGCUAAAAACCCCGACUUCGGAAGGGGUGUAUUUAUUAAAUUAAAAACCAAUGCCCUUCGGGGCUAAUUAGUAAUUUAUAAUAACUUUUCGAAUUGUAUAACUUUGCGCUGGCGAUAGUUUAUUCAAAUUUCUACCCUAUUAAUUUUUAAUAGUUAGAUUUUAAUUAAUUAUAGUAACAAUGGGUAACGGAGGGUUAGGGCUCGACCCCGGAGAAGGAGUUUGAGAAACGGCUAUUAUAUUUAAGGAAAGUAGUAGGCGCGUAAAUUACCUAAUCCUAAUAUAGAGAGGUAGUAAUAAUAAAUAUUAAUAUAAGGCUCUUUUAGGUUUUAUAAUUAGAAUAAAUAUAAUUUAAAUCCUUUAAUAAGGAAUAAUUGGAGGGUAAGUUUAGUGCUAGUAACUACAGUAAUUCUAAUUCCAAUAGUAUAUAUUAAAGUUAUUAAAGUUAAAAAAUUUGUAAUUAAACCUUAGGUUCGGCCUAUUAGUCUGCUUUACCGCGUAUAUUAACUAGGUUGGGCCUUUUUUCCUAGAGAACUAUAUGCCCUUUAUUAGGUAUAUUGGGGAAUUAGGAUUUUUAUUAUAAAUAAAUUAAAUCGUUUAAAGAAGGUUUAUAUUCGAAUAUAUUAGUAUAGAAUAAUAGAAUAGGAUAUAUAGUUUUAUUUUAUUAAUUUCUAGGACCGCUAUAAUAAUUAAUAGGGAUAGUCGGGGGUAUUAGUAUUUAAUUAUUAGAAGUGAAAUUCUUAGAUUUAUUAAAGAUUAAUUAUUACGAAAGUAUUUACUAAGGAUGUUUUUAUUAAUUAGGAAUGAAAGUUAGGGGAUUAAAAAUAAUUAGAUACUAUUAUAAUUUUAAUUAUAAAUUAUACUAAUUAAAGAUCGGACGGUAUUAUUUUUUAACCCGUUUAGCACCUUAUAAUAAAUUAAAAUAUUUAGGCUCUUAGAGGAGUAUAGUCGUAAGGUUAAAAUUUAAAGAAAUUAACGGAAGGGUACUACUAGGGGUAGAGUUUGUAGUUUAAUUUAAUUUAAUAUAGGGAAAUUUAUUAGGUUUAAAUAUAAUGAGGAUUAAUAGAUUGAGAGCUCUUUCUUAAUUUUGUAGGUAGUAGUAUAUAGUUAUUCUUAAUUAGUAGAGUAAUUUAUUUAUUUAAUUAUAAUAAUAAACGAGACUUUAAUUUACUAAAUAGCUUAUAUUACUUUAGUAGUAUAUUAGUUUUUUAGAGGGACUAUUGGUUUAAGCUAAUAGAAGUUUAAAGUAAUAAUAGGUCUAUAAUGCCUUUAGAUAUUCUAAGCCGUAUGCGCGUUAUAUUAAUAUAAUUAGUGAGUACUCCCUUAGCCGGAAGGUCCGGGUAAUUUUAUUAAAUUAUAUUAUAUUAGGGAUAGAGUAUUAUAAUUAUUAUUCUUUAAUAAGGAAUCUUUAAUAAAUAUAAAUUAUUAGUUUACGUUAAUUAUAUUCUUACCCUUUAUAUAUACCGCCCGUCGCUACUACCGAUUGAAUAGUUUAGUGAGGCUUCCGGAUUGGCUUAGGGAGGUCGGUAACGAUUAUUUAGGGCCGGAAAGCUAUUUAAACUCAGUUAUUUAAAGGAAGUAAAAGUUAUAAUAAAAUCUCCGUUAGUAAAUUAGCGGAGGGAUUAUUA